RNAcentral lists this unclassified non-coding RNA (373 nucleotides) under Hevea brasiliensis (rubber tree). Lineage: Eukaryota; Viridiplantae; Streptophyta; Magnoliopsida; Malpighiales; Euphorbiaceae. The record is from RNAcentral.
GCAGUAGCAUUGAAAUGUUUUUUUUUUGCUCGCGGCUUUAAGAGUGCAGCUGGCUAGUACAAGUGUGAGAUACAUGUGCAGAGUAGCAUGAUUUGAGGCACAGAAUAGAAGUAUGAAGAUCUUUUGUAUUAUAAUGAGUAGGUGUUUUUGGUUCAAAAUCUAAGAGGGGGAGGGUUCUGUUAGACUAAGUACAUCAAGCAUCUGUGUAGUUCAUGUUGUAAUCCUAUGGCAAGUUGAAAUGGCAAAGGCUAUCUCAACAUGGCAUGCAAGGUCGUAGUUUUGUAACAUUGUUUUGGUGGUUAGAGUGAAGAGGGGAUGCUUGAAAUUUGUAAAGUGGGAAGGCAAGCUGGGCUGUUGUUUUGUAUCAAACAAG